GUAGUCUCGCACAGAUGCAUAUCAAUAAGCGGAGGAAAAGAAACUAACAAGGAUUCCCCUAGUAACGGCGAGUGAAGCGGGAAGAGCUCAAAUUUGAAAUCUUAAAGGGUUUCCCUUUACGAAUUGUAGUUUAAAGAAGUGUUUUCUGUUGAGGUUUUGGUAAAAGUUCUUUGGAAUAGGACAUCAUAGAGGGUGAGAAUCCCGUAUUUGACCUUUACUUUCAACUUUGUGAUACACUUUCAAAGAGUCGGAUUGUUUGGGAAUGCAGUCCAAAAUGGGUGGUAAAUUUCAUCUAAAGCUAAAUAUUGGCGAGAGACCGAUAGCGAACAAGUACCGUGAGGGAAAGAUGAAAAGAACUUUGAAAAGAGAGUUAAACAGUACGUGAAAUUGUCAAAAGGGAAGCGUUUGACACCAGUGUUGUUUUUCUGAAAAUCAAUUAAAGAACUGUUUAUGCUAAGCUGUUUAGACUUUAUCAGCUAACUGUUUAGUUUUGAGCUUUUCUUUAAUGCACUUUUCAGUUAACAAGUCAACAUCAAUUUCCUUUUGCUGUAAAAAAGCUUGAGGAAGGUGGCUUGAGAUUCGUCUUAAGUGUUUAUAGCCUCUUGCCUAUGCAGUCGGAGAGAUUGAGGUCUGCAGCGUAGAUCCUUCGGGGCUAAAUGCUUUUGUGCUAAGUUAUAGCAUUUUAUAGACAACUUGUUGACUAUGAUUUGUCUUGUAGCUUACUCGCUUAUGUUAUUUUACCUACGCUUAGGAUGUUGAAGACUCUACAGAGAUA
Molecule: ribosomal RNA, 775 nt
Filed under: uncultured Neocallimastigales
Lineage: Eukaryota; Fungi; Neocallimastigomycota; Neocallimastigomycetes; Neocallimastigales
Description: partial large subunit ribosomal RNA
Rfam family: Eukaryotic large subunit ribosomal RNA
Source: RNAcentral